CCUACGGGGGGCUGCAGUGGGGAAUAUUGCACAAUGGGGGAAACCCUGAUGCAGCGACGCCGCGUGAGUGAAGAAGUAUUUCGGUAUGUAAAGCUCUAUCAGCAGGGAAGAAGAAAGACGGUACCUGACUAAGAAGCCCCGGCUAACUACGUGCCAGCAGCCGCGGUAAUACGUAGGGGGCAAGCGUUAUCCGGAUUUACUGGGUGUAAAGGGAGCGUAGACGGCAGCACAAGUCUGGAGUGAAAUACCGGGGCUUAACCCCGGAACUGCUUUGGAAACUGUGCAGCUAGAGUGCAGGAGAGGUAAGUGGAAUUCCUAGUGUAGCGGUGAAAUGCGUAGAUAUUAGGAGGAACACCAGUGGCGAAGGCGGCUUACUGGACUGUAACUGACGUUGAGGCUCGAAAGCGUGGGGAGCAAACAGAAUUAGAUACCCUAGUAGUC
Molecule: ribosomal RNA, 441 nt
Filed under: uncultured bacterium
Lineage: Bacteria
Description: partial 16S ribosomal RNA
Rfam family: Bacterial small subunit ribosomal RNA
Source: RNAcentral